This is a long non-coding RNA of Mastomys coucha (southern multimammate mouse), 414 nucleotides long. RefSeq lists it as uncharacterized. The transcript has 5 exons. The record is from RefSeq and is a predicted model, not a curated record. Lineage: Eukaryota; Metazoa; Chordata; Mammalia; Rodentia; Muridae.
UGCAGCAAGUUCCAUACUUCAAACACCAAAUAUGAACCAGCAGCUGCAGUCCACUCCUCUUGGCAGAUACCACACACAAAUCAGCAACAUCAGUUCAACCCAGGAGAACUUAAGACUCACCAACCAGCCCAAGUCUGCAGGAAUCUCAUGAGACAUUGUUUGUUCUGAAGCAGGAUGACAUCAUUCAAGCCAUACAAAAUUCAAGCAGGGUUGGGAGGCAUCCCUCAGGCAUUCGAGCAUGGGUGGCAUGGCUAGCAAACUGUCCCAGUGUAUUCGGAACUUAAGUAGCUUCAUGCAUACUACUUUGAGACAGGGAGGACUAGCUUCACUCUGUCAUGGUCAUGUCUGAAAUGUUCACAUGGCGAUUAUUACCCAGAUGAUGUCGUUCUGAGGCAGAAGGCGAUGCUAAUUUUG